AUGCAUCCCUUCUGGAAGCUCAAACUGUUUAUUUUAAGCUUCACUUACAUGAAACUCUUUUAUGACCUUUUCCUGCAGAGAAUGAUUGCAUUUUAAAACUGCACUGAUUUCCAUGUUUCCAACUUCUGCUGUGAACUCACUUUAAAUUUUUGUCUGUUGUUGGACCAGUGGGAAUUGGCAGAAGGAAAUUUUCUCUGAGCCCCCUAAUAUGGGGCAUUUUCAUGAACUUCAAAGACGUGUCUGUGUUGCACACAACAGGAACAUGUUCAACACUAUCGUGGCUCGGCUUGCCAUGUUUUGCUCUGAAUACAACACCUGGGGUAUAUCAUCUGAGGGCUACUCUGGUUAUGUGCUUUUGAAGACUGCCUUUAAUUGCUUUUGCAUUGAGCUGUAUUCAUGAAUGUGUAUUCAUCAAAGAAUGAAGAGCAAUGUGACAUUUUUAAGUUUUACUAAGUCAACUAGCAUCCGUUGCCAUAGCAUUCAGAAAUGAGGAAACCAGGAAAAGGCAGAGCUGUUUUUCAUUAUGUGUUGAAAGAUGUCAGCAGGAUUAAAGUGUCAGAGCAUAAAGAAAAA
Manis pentadactyla (Chinese pangolin) is the source of this 573-nucleotide long non-coding RNA. RefSeq lists it as uncharacterized. The transcript is spliced from 3 exons. Lineage: Eukaryota; Metazoa; Chordata; Mammalia; Pholidota; Manidae. The record is from RefSeq and is a predicted model, not a curated record.